UUUGGGGGAAAGUUGGGAGAGGAGGCAAUCCAUACCUGUUAGAGAAGUCUCUACAGUCAUAACCUGAUGCCAAUUCUAACCAGUUCACCAACAGCUGCCUGACUCCCUGGAUUUGUGUUAGAUCUGAGUUCCCCAGAUCAGGUCUGGCCUCUUACAACCCACCUCCCUAGGUUCCCCUUAGAGAUUGGACCACUCUGAACUGUCACUAUUUGAUGAUGUGUCUAUCUGCAAACCUGGUUGGUGAGUUGUGAGGGGAUGGGGUUGGAUCUGACGUGGUCACUGCUAUGUCCCCAGAGUCAGGCAGCAUGUUCAAGGCCCUUUGUGGUUGCCAUAAGUAGAUAUAUGGCAUGAAUGCGUGAAUGUAGGUAGGAGGGGAGGCUUCCCUGGGGCAAACAGUGCCCUACCCUCUCACCUAUGGCCCCCAUCCCUUGCUAGGGUCCAAGGGUUGGUCUUGCCUCAGGUCAAAUAGGUCAAAUAGGUGGCCAUAGCUACACUUCCUUCCCACCUCAACAACCUCAAGGAGAUGGCCCAGGCUGGCAACACUUGGCAGUCUAGACAUUGAGGAACUGGUGUCCCACUGGGCCCAAAUGGAGACUUUGAGCCAUCCAGACACUUGGCCACCUGGAGCUACGACUUCAAUUUCCAGAUUCCCUGGCAGCCUGAUGAGGCCAUGUGAUUAAUAUCUGGCCAAUAUGAUGGGAGCAGAUAGAGAUUAGCCCUGAGCUAACAUCUGCUGCCAAUCCUCCUCUUUUUGCUGAGGAGGACUGGCCCUGAG
RNAcentral lists this long non-coding RNA (775 nucleotides) under Equus asinus (donkey). RNAcentral describes it as "lncRNA (ENSEASG00005037360.1)". Lineage: Eukaryota; Metazoa; Chordata; Mammalia; Perissodactyla; Equidae. The record is from RNAcentral.